RNAcentral lists this ribosomal RNA (541 nucleotides) under Tremella flava. Its description in RNAcentral is "LSU rRNA". It matches the Rfam family "Eukaryotic large subunit ribosomal RNA", at positions 92 to 623 of the family's 3401-position model. The record is from RNAcentral. Lineage: Eukaryota; Fungi; Basidiomycota; Tremellomycetes; Tremellales; Tremellaceae.
AGCGAACCGGGAAGAGCUCAAAUUUGUAAUCUGGCGCCCCUCGGGCUCAGAGUUGUAAUCUACAGAGGCGUUUUCCGUGCCGGCCCGUGCCCAACUUUGCUUGGAACAGUGAGAUCAAAGAGGGUGAAAAUCCCGUACUUGACACGACCGCCGGUGCUAUGUGAUACGUCUUCUAAGAGUCGAGUUGUUUGGGAAUGCAGCUCAAAACGGGUGGUAAAUUCCAUCUAAGGCUAAAUAUUGGCGAGAGACCGAUAGCGAACAAGUACCGUGAGGGAAAGAUGAAAAGCACUUUGGAAAGAGAGUUAAACAGCACGUGAAAUUGUUGAAAGGGAAACGAUUGAAGUCAGUCGUGUCCGAGGGGUUCAGCCGGUCCUGCCGGUGCAUUCCUCUCGGACGGGUCAACAUCGGUUUUGUCCGGCGGACAAGGGCAUGGGGAAAGUGGCACCUUCGGGUGUGUUAUAGCCCCGUGUCGCAUACGUCGGACGAGACCGAGGAACGCAGCUCGCCUCACGGCCGGGGUUCGCCCACGUACGAGCUAGGA